AGCGAACGCUGGCGGCAGGCCUAACACAUGCAAGUCGAACGAAGUCUUCGGACUUAGUGGCGGACGGGUGAGUAACACGUGGGAACGUGCCUUUAGGUUCGGAAUAACUCAGGGAAACUUGUGCUAAUACCGAAUGUGCCCUUCGGGGGAAAGAUUUAUCGCCUUUAGAGCGGCCCGCGUCUGAUUAGCUAGUUGGUGAGGUAAAGGCUCACCAAGGCGACGAUCAGUAGCUGGUCUGAGAGGAUGAUCAGCCACAUUGGGACUGAGACACGGCCCAAACUCCUACGGGAGGCAGCAGUGGGGAAUCUUGCGCAAUGGGCGAAAGCCUGACGCAGCCAUGCCGCGUGAAUGAUGAAGGUCUUAGGAUUGUAAAAUUCUUUCACCGGGGACGAUAAUGACGGUACCCGGAGAAGAAGCCCCGGCUAACUUCGUGCCAGCCGCCGCCGUAA
This 449-nucleotide ribosomal RNA is filed under the name uncultured bacterium. Its description in RNAcentral is "partial 16S ribosomal RNA". It matches the Rfam family "Bacterial small subunit ribosomal RNA", at positions 29 to 523 of the family's 1533-position model. The record is from RNAcentral.